CCUACGGGAGGCAGCAGUGGGGAAUAUUGGUCAAUGGGCGCAAGCCUGACCCAGCAACGCCGCGUGAAGGAAGAAGGCUUUCGGGUUGUAAACUUCUUUUCUCAGGGACGAAGCAAGUGACGGUACCUGAGGAAUAAGCCACGGCUAACUACGUGCCAGCAGCCGCGGUAAUACGUAGGUGGCAAGCGUUAUCCGGAGUUACUGGGUUUAAAGGGCGUGUAGGCGGGACUGCAAGUCAGAUGUGAAAACCACGGGCUCAACCUGUGGACUGCAGUUGAAACUGUAGUUCUUGAGUACUGGAGAGGCAGACGGAAUGCCUGGUGUAGCGGUGAAAUGCGUAGAUAUUAGGAGGAACACCAGUGGCGAAGGCGGUCUGCUGAACAGCAACUGACGCUGAGGCGCGAAAGCGUGGGGAGCAAACAGGAUUAGAUACCCCUGUAGUC
This 443-nucleotide ribosomal RNA is filed under the name uncultured bacterium. RNAcentral describes it as "partial 16S ribosomal RNA". It matches the Rfam family "Bacterial small subunit ribosomal RNA", at positions 338 to 795 of the family's 1533-position model. The record is from RNAcentral.